GCGGUUUGGGAUCAUUAUGCCAGCAUCCUUGAUAAAAUCGCAGUCCUCAGUCUAGGCAGGCAGCAUCAACGCAGGCUAUAACACUUCACCGAAGUAAAGUCACAUUCCUACGCCAUUAUCCUACCGCCCAAACCGAUGCUGGCCCGAUAAGCUGCGGGUCACCCCGCCACGAAGGCAAGGCUCACAAAAUAUCGAGUCUGAUCUCAAACCCUUCCCUUUCAACAAUUUCACGUACUUUUUCACUCUCUUUUCAAAGUUCUUUUCAUCUUUCCAUCACUGUACUUGUUCGCUAUCGGUCUCUCGCCAAUAUUUAGCUUUAGAUGGAAUUUACCACCCACUUAGAGCUGCAUUCCCAAACAACUCGACUCUUCGAAAGCACCUUACAUAGAAUUGGGCAUCUCAUCGCACGGGAUUCUCACCCUCUGUGACGUCCUGUUCCAAGAAACAUAGACGAGAGCCAACCCCAAGGUUACAAUCUUCAAAUUACAACUCGGACACCGAAGGCGCCAGAUUUCAAAUUUGAGCUUUUGCCGCUUCACUCGCCGCUACUAAGGCAAUCCCUGUUGGUUU
RNAcentral lists this ribosomal RNA (570 nucleotides) under Meyerozyma guilliermondii. RNAcentral describes it as "partial large subunit ribosomal RNA". Lineage: Eukaryota; Fungi; Ascomycota; Pichiomycetes; Serinales; Debaryomycetaceae. The record is from RNAcentral.